ACCAGAGGCAUUUUGUUACAUCACCCAUGCUGUGAGUUCUGGAAUGACGUGGCUAACGGAUCUGCCACCAUAUGCCAGAUGGCUGAGUGAUUCAAGGAUAACACAACAGUCUUGAGUAGUAAUCAGAAGAAUGAAGAUCAUUUGAAGGCCAGUCACCGUGUGCACCAAGGAUUGAUACUGAGGCCAACAGUGUUUAACUUCUUCAUUAAUCACUUAGACAAUGUGGCAGCAUGCACCCUCAGUACUUUGGCAGAUAAUACAAAACUGGAAGGAGUGGCUGACAAUGGGUGUGAUGCCGUUCAGAGGGACAGGCUGGAGAGCUGUACAGGCAGGAAUUUCAAUUCAUCAAAAGUGAAAUGCACAUUUCCAGGGAAAUUCCUGGUGUGGAAUAACCCUGUGAGCCAGUAAAUGUUUGCGGCUGAUAAUCUGUAAAUAAAUUUCACUGAAAAAGGACGUGAGGCACUGAAGGAAAACAAGUUGACCUGAAACCAGA
Long non-coding RNA from Coturnix japonica (Japanese quail), 493 nucleotides. RefSeq lists it as uncharacterized. The record is from RefSeq and is a predicted model, not a curated record. Lineage: Eukaryota; Metazoa; Chordata; Aves; Galliformes; Phasianidae.